AGAUUAAGUUAUUAAGGGCGCACGGUGGAUGCCUUGGCACUAGAAGCCGAUGAAGGACGUUACUAACGACGAUAUGCUUUGGGGAGCUGUAAGUAAGCUUUGAUCCAGAGAUUUCCGAAUGGGGAAACCCAGCAUGAGUUAUGUCAUGUUAUCGAUAUGUGAAUACAUAGCAUAUCAGAAGGCACACCCGGAGAACUGAAACAUCUUAGUACCCGGAGGAAGAGAAAGAAAAUUCGAUUCCCUUAGUAGCGGCGAGCGAAACGGGAAGAGCCCAAACCAACAAGCUUGCUUGUUGGGGUUGUAGGACACUCUGUACGGAGUUACAAAGGACGACAUUAGACGAA
This 344-nucleotide ribosomal RNA is filed under the name Staphylococcus aureus. RNAcentral describes it as "bacterial LSU rRNA". It matches the Rfam family "Bacterial large subunit ribosomal RNA", at positions 1 to 337 of the family's 2925-position model. Lineage: Bacteria; Bacillati; Bacillota; Bacilli; Caryophanales; Staphylococcaceae. The record is from RNAcentral.